Molecule: ribosomal RNA, 429 nt
Filed under: uncultured bacterium
Lineage: Bacteria
Description: bacterial SSU rRNA
Rfam family: Bacterial small subunit ribosomal RNA
Source: RNAcentral
UGGGGAAUUUUGGACAAUGGGGGCAACCCUGAUCCAGCCAUUCCGCGUGAGUGAAGAAGGCCUUCGGGUUGUAAAGCUCUUUCAGCAGGAACGAAACGGUGGUCCCUAAUACGGGUUACUAAUGACGGUACCUGAAGAAGAAGCACCGGCUAACUACGUGCCAGCAGCCGCGGUAAUACGUAGGGUGCGAGCGUUAAUCGGAAUUACUGGGCGUAAAGCGUGCGCAGGCGGUUAUGCAAGACAGAUGUGAAAUCCCCGGGCUCAACCUGGGAACUGCAUUUGUGACUGCAUAGCUAGAGUACGGUAGAGGGGGAUGGAAUUCCGCGUGUAGCAGUGAAAUGCGUAGAUAUGCGGAGGAACACCAGUGGCGAAGGCGGAUCUCUGGACAAGUACUGACGCUGAGGCACGAAAGCCAGGGGAGCAAACGGG